UCAAAAUCCUGGCCAAACAGCCGGAAUACGCGGCCAAAGACCAGCGGCGCCGCCGCGCCCCCUCUCGGUUUUUGCAUCCGACGAGGCCCUUCCCGGCCUCCGUUCGAUGCGAUUUUUAUAUCACCGUGAUCACCAUUCUUUUCUCUACAGGUUGACCGGAGCCGAAUCACCAAAACACGAACCUCGCCGGAGAGCCGCCGCACCCGAGAGCGCCGCCGCCGGUAAGCUCCGUUUUUCCGUGAUUUUUUUGGCCCCCCGAGGGCCCUAGG
Molecule: long non-coding RNA, 269 nt
Filed under: Carica papaya (papaya)
Lineage: Eukaryota; Viridiplantae; Streptophyta; Magnoliopsida; Brassicales; Caricaceae
Description: long non-coding RNA (CPAP_LNC012069)
Source: RNAcentral